CCUCUCUUUUAUCUGACCAAACCCCACCCCUAACCCGUAUUUUCCCAUUUCGGCCACCCUCAGUCACUCUCUUCAUAGCUCACGAUGAAACCCUAGCCGGCCAUGAAGAUUUUCUCUGUUCUUUCCUUUUUACGCGUCCAUACGCAGGCUCACAUACUUUAUUCGUGCUCACUCGCUCAGUUAUGGUAACAUUCGUUACCAAUCCAUCUAUGGAAAGUAUGAUUCUCCUGAAUCGGGUUGAUAUGACUUCAACCUUAUGGAUCCGGACACGAUUGUGGCUCUGUAAAUCCAGAAAGGGAGAAUAUUUCUAUGUCCCUGCGUAUUUCCGUCGAUUUCUUCUCGAUUAAGGUUUACAUGAGUUUUAUUCGAUUUUGUUAUUUGAUUGAUCUUUUUCUUUUUCUGAUUAUGUGAAUCUAACACUAUAUAAACCCCUUCCGCAAUUCCCCUAAACAUACUUUAUUGACUACUCCCGAACACUCGCAAAUUGUUAUAUUGUGUUCUGGUUCUCUGAAACUAUUGUGUUCGAUUUGGUUCUUAUCCGGCUAAAGGACAAGGCCACCGUGGUAUUUCUUAAUUACCUCCUCUAGUGAAAGCACUUCUCGAAGCCCUUUCGAGGCUCUUGUUAACUCUGAAGCACCGGAGACUUGGGGUUCUCACUAUCCUCCUUCAAUUGCUACUACUGAGCCACUACUGAAAUGCUAAUUUUCUUACUCUUUUGCUCUUUUAUCUUUGCAACUGGUCUUUUGUGGAGGUAAACAUGAGCCAUUUGUGCUAACUGUACUUUUUAUGAAGUUCAGUUUGUUAAUUAUGUGGCACCUAGUAUUUUAAUUUUGAAAAGCCUAGGAUGAGUCGAGAACCACUUGUAUAGCGGUCCAAUACCUCCUGGACCAUAGGCAUGGGAUAGGUAGACAUAUAUAGGGUACAACUUAGAUUGAAUUAGUGCGCUUUAGGUAAACAAUUGAAGAUAGUAAUCGGGUAGCUAGAAAUGAUAGUUUGUGCUUGCUGGAUAAUAUGCGAAACCAUUGCACUUAAGUGUUAAAAAGUA
Nicotiana tabacum (common tobacco) is the source of this 1045-nucleotide long non-coding RNA. RefSeq lists it as uncharacterized. The record is from RefSeq and is a predicted model, not a curated record. Lineage: Eukaryota; Viridiplantae; Streptophyta; Magnoliopsida; Solanales; Solanaceae.